RNAcentral lists this ribosomal RNA (425 nucleotides) under uncultured bacterium. RNAcentral describes it as "bacterial SSU rRNA". It matches the Rfam family "Bacterial small subunit ribosomal RNA", at positions 354 to 796 of the family's 1533-position model. The record is from RNAcentral.
GUGGGGAAUAUUGCACAAUGGGGGAAACCCUGAUGCAGCGACGCCGCGUGAAGGAAGACGUAUUUCGGUAUGUAAACUUCUAUCAGCAAGGAAGAUGAUGACGGUACUUGACUAAGAAGCCCCGGCUAACUACGUGCCAGCAGCCGCGGUAAUACGUAGGGGGCAAGCGUUAUCCGGAUUUACUGGGUGUAAAGGGAGCGUAGGCGGCCAUGCAAGUCAGAAGUGAAAGCCCGGGGCUCAACCCCGGGACUGCUUUUGAAACUGUAGGGCUAGAUUGCCGGAGAGGUGAGCGGAAUUCCUAGUGUAGCGGUGAAAUGCGUAGAUAUUAGGAGGAACACCAGUGGCGAAGGCGGCUCACUGGACGGUAAAUGACGCUGAGGCUCGAAAGCGUGGGGAGCAAACAGGAUUAGAUACCCCAGUAGUCC